CUACGGGUCGCAGCAGUGGGGAAUAUUGGACAAUGGGGGAAACCCUGAUCCAGCAAUGCCGCGUGUGUGAAGAAGGCCUGCGGGUUGUAAAGCACUUUCGGUUGGGAGGACUGCUUCUAGCACUAAUAUUGUUGGAAGUUGACGUUACCUUCAGAAGAAGCACCGGCUAACUCCGUGCCAGCAGCCGCGGUAAUACGGAGGGUGAAGCGUGAAUCGGAAUUACUGGGCGUAAAGCGCGCGUAGGCGGCUAGAUCAGUCGGGUGUGAAAGCCCCGGGCUUAACCUGGGAACUGCAUCCGAUACUGUAUAGCUUGAGUACAGGAGAGGAGAGUGGAAUUCCACAUGUAGCGGUGAAAUGCGUAGAUAUGUGGAGGAACACCAAUGGCGAAGGCAGCUCUCUGGCCUGAUACUGACGCUGAGGUGCGAAAGCGUGGGGAGCAAACAGGAUUAGAUACCCUUGUAGUC
Molecule: ribosomal RNA, 464 nt
Filed under: uncultured bacterium
Lineage: Bacteria
Description: partial 16S ribosomal RNA
Rfam family: Bacterial small subunit ribosomal RNA
Source: RNAcentral